UGAGUAACCUGCCCUUAACUCUGGGAUAAGCCUGGGAAACUGGGUCUAAUACCGGAUAUGACUCUUCAUCGCAUGGUGGGGGGUGGAAAGCUUUAUUGUGGUUUUGGAUGGACUCGCGGCCUAUCAACUUGUUGGUGAGGUAAUGGCUUACCAAGGCGACGACGGGUANCUGGUCUGAGAGGAUGAUCAGCCACAUUGGGACUGAGACACGGCCCAGACCUCCGUACGGGAGGNAG
Molecule: ribosomal RNA, 236 nt
Filed under: uncultured bacterium
Lineage: Bacteria
Description: partial 16S ribosomal RNA
Rfam family: Bacterial small subunit ribosomal RNA
Source: RNAcentral